UCGCUACUAAAGGGUAUGCUGGGUUCAUAUUUAACAAAUAGCAGAGCUAUACGAAUUCAAAAUGCAAAUGAAUAUAUCUUUAAAACAACGGACCUCCCAUCACCAUUGAUAUUUAGUACGUGAACUCAAUGCCACCGGCCAUACUAUACCACUAUUCCAUUUUUUACAUCUAGAAACAGCCAACGAUCAUAUAGAACUAUAAAUACUACAGAUGGAUAUAACGAAACUUCUUCGAGCGGAGAGUUAAGACAAGAAAAUUAAUCUAGUCUAACAGUCUCCAAUGGCUGUUCACCUAUAGCAAUAUCAAAAAAAAAGAGAAAGAAAUCCAAAAAACUCUUAGAUUUUUCAAACAUUCUUUUGUCAAGAGUAAAGGGGAAAUGCAAAGAAACUCCAUACCUCGAAUUAACGGCAUAAGUAAAACCUCGACCAAAGAGGCCUCUUUUCCUACCUCUGCUCGCAGUCGGACGCCUUAGCUCUCUCUCUCUCUCUCUCUCUCUCUCUCUCAAUACGAUCACAGCCUUAACCAAAAAAAUUAACACAUCAAGGCCGAUCCAGAGUGCGGAAUCCCACCGAAUCCCUAACAAAUCCUCUCAAACUACCAAGAAAUUUCUCUAAA
RNAcentral lists this long non-coding RNA (616 nucleotides) under Phoenix dactylifera (date palm). RNAcentral's name for it is "long non-coding RNA (PDAC_LNC020572)". Lineage: Eukaryota; Viridiplantae; Streptophyta; Magnoliopsida; Arecales; Arecaceae. The record is from RNAcentral.